GAUGAACGCUGACAGAAUGCUUAACACAUGCAAGUCGAUUCGAUUUACCUUCGGGUAUUGAGGAUGGCGGACGGGUGAGUAACGCGUAAGGAACUUGCCUCUUGGUCUGGGACAACUGUUGGAAACGACAGCUAAUACCGGAUAUUAUGAGAUUCUCGCAUGGGAAACUUAUGAAAGCUAUAUGCGCCAAGAGAGAGCCUUGCGUUCCAUUAGCUAGUUGGUGGGGUAACGGCCCACCAAGGCGACGAUGGAUAGCCGGCCUGAGAGGGUGAACGGCCACAAGGGGACUGAGACACGGCCCUUACUCCUACGGGAGGCAGCAGUGGGGAAUAUUGGACAAUGGGCCACAAGCCUGAUCCAGCAAUUCUGUGUGCACGAUGAAGGUCUUCGGAUUGUAAAGUGCUUUCAGUUGGGAAGAAGAAAGUGACGGUACCAACAGAAGAAGCGACGGCUAAAUACGUGCCAGCAGCCGCGGUAAUACGUAUGUCGCAAGCGUUAUCCGGAUUUAUUGGGCGUAAAGCGCGUCUAGGCGGAAAAAUAAGUCUGAUGUUAAAAUGCGGGGCUCAACUCCGUAUUGCGUUGGAAACUGUUUUUCUAGAGUACUGGAGAGGUGGG
This 615-nucleotide ribosomal RNA is filed under the name uncultured prokaryote. Its description in RNAcentral is "bacterial SSU rRNA". It matches the Rfam family "Bacterial small subunit ribosomal RNA", at positions 28 to 661 of the family's 1533-position model. The record is from RNAcentral.